RNAcentral lists this ribosomal RNA (501 nucleotides) under uncultured bacterium. Its description in RNAcentral is "bacterial SSU rRNA". It matches the Rfam family "Bacterial small subunit ribosomal RNA", at positions 8 to 526 of the family's 1533-position model. The record is from RNAcentral.
AGAGUUUGAUCAUGGCUCAGAACGAACGCUGGCGGCAUGCCUAACACAUGCAAGUCGAACGCCCUGGGCAACCAGGGAGUGGCGGACGGGUGAGUAACGCGUGGGGACCUGCCUCGAAGUUCGGAAUAACCGCGGGAAACUGCGGCUAAUACCGGAUGUGGCCUGAGGGCCAAAGGGGAAACUCGCUUCGAGAGGGGCCCGCGUCCGAUUAGCUAGUUGGUGAGGUAACGGCUCACCAAGGCGACGAUCGGUAGCUGGUCUGAGAGGAUGAUCAGCCACACUGGGACUGAGACACGGCCCAGACUCCUACGGGAGGCAGCAGUGGGGAAUAUUGGACAAUGGGGGCAACCCUGAUCCAGCAAUGCCGCGUGAGUGAUGAAGGCCUUCGGGUUGUAAAGCACUUUUGGCAGGGAAGAAACGGCGCGGGCGAAUAACCCGCGCAACUGACGGUACCUGCAGAAUAAGCACCGGCUAACUACGUGCCAGCAGCCGCGGUAAUAC